Molecule: ribosomal RNA, 648 nt
Filed under: uncultured bacterium
Lineage: Bacteria
Description: bacterial SSU rRNA
Rfam family: Bacterial small subunit ribosomal RNA
Source: RNAcentral
CGAACGGUAGCAGGCCUUCGGGCGCUGAUGAGUGGCGGACGGGUGAGUAACGCGUAGGAAUCUGCCUCAUAGUGGGGGACAACGUGGGGAAACUCACGCUAAUACCGCAUACGCCCUACGGGGGAAAGCGGGGGACCUUCKGGCCUCKCGCUAUGAGAUGAGCCUGCGUUAGAUUASCUAGUUGGUAGGGUAAAGGCCUACCAAGGCGACGAUCUAUAGCUGGUCUGAGAGGACGAUCAGCCACACUGGGACUGAGACACGGCCCAGACUCCUACGGGAGGCAGCAGUGGGGAAUAUUGGACAAUGGGCGCAAGCCUGAUCCARCWMUACCGCGUGUGUGAAGAAKGCCCUAKGGUUGUAAAGCACUUUCAAUGGGGAGGAAAACAGUCCGCUUAAUACGCUGACUCUUGACAUUACCUGUAGAAGAAKCACCGGCUAACUCCGUGCCAGCAGCCGCGGUAAUACGGAGGGUGCGAGCGUUAAUCGGAAUUACUGGGCGUAAAGCGUGCGUAGGCGGUUAAUUAAUUCAKAUGUGAAAGCCCCGGGCUUAACCUGGRAACUGCAUUUGAUACUGGUUGACUAGAGUUUAGUAUAGGGGAGUGGAAUUUCAAGUGUAUCGGUGAAAUGCGUAGAUAUCUGAAGGAACAC